This 501-nucleotide ribosomal RNA is filed under the name Triticum aestivum (bread wheat). RNAcentral describes it as "partial small subunit ribosomal RNA". Lineage: Eukaryota; Viridiplantae; Streptophyta; Magnoliopsida; Poales; Poaceae. The record is from RNAcentral.
AUGCGGGUGGAGGGGCCCUUCUUCAGCCUCUUGGGCCGCUCCGUCCUCCUCGACGCCGAGUGGUGCCCGGUGCUCACCGUGGAGCGCUCGCCGUCCCUGUUCGAGAUCACCCGGAGGUGGGAGGCGUUCAGGGGGGAUAGCACGAGCUCCAAGGACCUGCUCUUCUCCGCCGCCGUGCAGCCUUCGCUGACCAACACGGGAGACAUCCACGUGCACCUCGACGGCGAGAGGCGCCGCGACUUCGUCGGCGUCCGCCCCUGGUACCGCGGACUGACUGCACCGUCACCCACGCCGGCGCUACCGUUGCCCAGAUCGAAUGCUGGGGGGGAUUCAUCUCGCCGACCGAGUAUGAUGUCCGUGUCAACGAAGGCGUCGACCAUGCCUUCAUCCUGGGGCUCACCGUGGUUCUGGAGGGUAUACGGCUCGACGACGCCGACCAAGAGAGGUCACGCGCCCUCAAGAGGUCACGAGCUAGAAAUAAUAAGAACUUAUAAGUACUGA